Molecule: long non-coding RNA, 378 nt
Filed under: Triticum aestivum (bread wheat)
Lineage: Eukaryota; Viridiplantae; Streptophyta; Magnoliopsida; Poales; Poaceae
Description: long non-coding RNA (TAES_LNC020204)
Source: RNAcentral
UUGAAAAUCAAAAGGAGAGAGGACCACAACUGGAGAUUAGGAGGGGUAAGGAUUUAUGGGAAGAUGAGUCCAUAGGUCGAACCUGUAGAUGUUGUCCGCAAUUCUAGCAUUUUGUUCUGCUAACGAAGACCUUCCAACUUUCACAGAAAAAAAAAGACCUUCCAAAGGAUGGAGUGGUCAAGAAUGAAGAAUUGGACAUGAUUUUCGCUGCUUCAAUAGAUGUAUAAGUGGCAAUGUUAUGGCUGGAAUAAGAUGUAAGCCCUCUUCGACAAUAAAUUUUGCUUACUCUUUGUAUUAGCUACAUGGAUCACAAGCCAUCUAUGUUAAUAAUACUACAGUUUGGUUUAUAUUAAUUAAAAAGUUCAAUAUUUGCAAGGC